AUGGCCAAGGAUCUCGCCUUCGUCCUCCUCGUCCUUGCCGCGCUAGCCGCCUUCUCGUCGGCGACCAAGCUGACAAUCCACAACCUCUGCCCGCACCCCGUCUGGCCGCUCGUCACCCCCAACGCCGGCCUCCCCUCCAUCUCUGACAAUGCCGCGCGCCUCGACACCAACGCGAUUCUCUCCCUCACCUUCCCGUCCACCUUCUGGGCAGGUCGCGUCGCGGCCCGCACCGGCUGCGACGACGGCACGUCGCCACCGCGCGGGUGCUUCACGGGCGACGCGCCGCCGUCCACCGUCGCGCAGAUCACGGUCCACGACAGCGGGAACCUGGACCUCGCCGCGUACAGCGUCAGCCUCGUAAACGGGUUCAACGUGCCGAUGGUGUUGAGUCCGCAGGCAGGCGGUGGGCAGUGUCCGGCGCUCGGCUGCGCCGUGGACCUCAACUGCGACUGCCCUCCGGACAACCGGGCCGCCGAAGGCACCGCGUGCCGCGGGCCCGCGGGGUACUUCAAGAACCGUUGCCCGCUCACGAGGACGACGUCGACCGACGUGGAGCCCGUGCCGCAGAGCUGCUGCGCGCCCGGGGAGCUCAAGAUCGUCCUCUGCCAGUCGUCCAUGCUCCAGCGCGGCGCCUCGGCGGCGGAGGACACCGACAUGGUCAUCCGCACUGUCGUCGCCGACAACUAG
This 687-nucleotide ribosomal RNA is filed under the name Triticum aestivum (bread wheat). RNAcentral describes it as "partial small subunit ribosomal RNA". Lineage: Eukaryota; Viridiplantae; Streptophyta; Magnoliopsida; Poales; Poaceae. The record is from RNAcentral.